RNAcentral lists this long non-coding RNA (599 nucleotides) under Olea europaea subsp. europaea. The record is from RNAcentral. Lineage: Eukaryota; Viridiplantae; Streptophyta; Magnoliopsida; Lamiales; Oleaceae.
GUAGAAUUAUAAUUCAGCUCCAAUAAUAUUCCAAUAUUGGACGAGUCACAACUACAAUAAACAACACCAAAAUCCCUAGAAAAAAAUCAUGAAAUUUAAAUAAAAACUAACCUUACCUCAAAUUAGUAACGGACAAAGUUGCUAAUUGUGACUACAGAAGAAAUAACAUCACAGAUGAAUAAAAGAAACACAAAACCUUUGUCACCGUUCCCAAAAGUAGAAGAAGCAGCUUCACAUUGAAGAUCGACCAUGAUUUCCAUGCACCGAUGUCGAUGCUCCACUAGCAGACAUGCGACAUAUUCUCAUCACUCUUUUUCUGCGAGGGUUUCCUUUGGUUGUGUAGAAAUCAAAAAGCAGAGGUAAGAGAGUGAGUGAAAUGCACUUUAUAAAAUAGAUAUUAGUAAACAGUAAUGGAACUUGUUAAUUAACAGUACUCAAAUUGAUGAGUGUAACGAGAACAGAAAAAUGAACGGUGAACAUGCAUUACCUCUUUUUAUAUUAAGUGCAAAGGAAUGAAAUAUAUUUCUGAUUUCUACAUUUUUAUAUGGAGUCAUUGAAAAGCCAUGUUAAGGUUAUGAGGUUUACUUUCAAAAUUUCCU